AGAGUUUGAUCCUGGCUCAGGACGAACGCUGGCGGCGUGCCUAACACAUGCAAGUCGAGCGGAGAAAGUUCUUCGGAACUUUCUUAGCGGCGGACGGGUGAGUAACACGUGGGUAACCUGCCUUAUAGAGGGGGAUAGCCUUCCGAAAGGAAGAUUAAUACCGCAUAACAUUUUUGUUUCGCAUGAGAUGAAAAUCAAAGGAGCAAUCCGCUAUAAGAUGGACCCGCGGCGCAUUAGCUAGUUGGUGAGGUAAUGGCUCACCAAGGCGACGAUGCGUAGCCGACCUGAGAGGGUGAUCGGCCACAUUGGAACUGAGAUACGGUCCAGACUCCUACGGGAGGCAGCAGUGGGGAAUAUUGCACAAUGGGGGAAACCCUGAUGCAGCAACGCCGCGUGAGUGAUG
This 403-nucleotide ribosomal RNA is filed under the name uncultured bacterium. RNAcentral's name for it is "bacterial SSU rRNA". It matches the Rfam family "Bacterial small subunit ribosomal RNA", at positions 8 to 410 of the family's 1533-position model. The record is from RNAcentral.